This 435-nucleotide ribosomal RNA is filed under the name uncultured bacterium. RNAcentral's name for it is "partial 16S ribosomal RNA". It matches the Rfam family "Bacterial small subunit ribosomal RNA", at positions 28 to 507 of the family's 1533-position model. The record is from RNAcentral.
GAUGAACGCUGGCGGUAUGCUUAACACAUGCAAGUCGAACGGACUCUUCGGAGUUGGUGGCGGACGGGUGAGUAACGCGUGAGAAACUGGCUUUGGGUUUGGGACAACCACUGGAAACGGUGGCUAAUACCGGAUGUGCCGAGAGGUGAAAGAGAAAUUGCCUGAAGAUGAGCUCGCGUCUGAUUAGCUAGUUGGUGAGGUAAAGGCUCACCGAGGCAGCGAUCAGUAGCUGGUCUGAGAGGAUGACCAGCCACACUGGGACUGAGACACGGCCCAGACUCCUACGGGAGGCAGCAGUGGGGAAUUUUCCGCAAUGGGCGAAAGCCUGACGGAGCAAUACCGCGUGAGGGAAGAAGGCUCUUGGGUUGUAAACCUCUUUUCUUAGGGAAGAACAAAAUGACGGUACCUAAGGAAUCAGCAUCGGCUAACUCCGUG